UACGUAGGGUGCAAGCGUUAAUCGGAAUUACUGGGCGUAAAGGGCGCGUAGGCGGCCUCCUAAGUCAGACGUGAAAUCCCUCGGCUCAACCGGGGAACUGCGUCUGAUACUGGGAGGCUUGAAUCCGGGAGAGGGAUGUGGAAUUCCAGGUGUAGCGGUGAAAUGCGUAGAUAUUGGGAAGAACACCAGUGGCGUAAGCGUCUUGCUGGGCUGUAACUGACGCCGAGGAACGAAAGCCAGGGUAGCGAAUGGG
RNAcentral lists this ribosomal RNA (253 nucleotides) under uncultured bacterium. RNAcentral's name for it is "partial 16S ribosomal RNA". It matches the Rfam family "Bacterial small subunit ribosomal RNA", at positions 524 to 776 of the family's 1533-position model. The record is from RNAcentral.